RNAcentral lists this ribosomal RNA (490 nucleotides) under uncultured bacterium. Its description in RNAcentral is "partial 16S ribosomal RNA". It matches the Rfam family "Bacterial small subunit ribosomal RNA", at positions 29 to 507 of the family's 1533-position model. The record is from RNAcentral.
AGUGAACGCUGGCGGUAGGCCUAACACAUGCAAGUCGAACGGCAGCACAGGAGAGCUUGCUCUCUAGGUGGCGAGUGGCGGGCGGGUGAGGAAUACAUCGGAAUCUGCCCAGUCGUGGGGGAUAACGGAGGGAAACUUACGCUAAUACCGCAUACGACCUUCGGGUGAAAGAGGGGGAUCGCAAGACCUCUCGCGAUUGGAUGAGCCGAUGUCGGAUUAGCUAGUUAGCGGGGUAAUGGCCCACCAAGGCGACGAGCCGUAGCUGGUCUGAGAGGAUGAUCGGCCACACUGGAACUGAGACACGGUCCAGACUCCUACGGGAGGCACCAGUGGGGAAUAUUGGACAAUGGGCGCAAGCCUGAUCCAGCCAUACCGCGUGGGUGAAGAAGGCCUUCGGGUUGUAAAGCCCUUUUGUUGGUAAAGAAAUCUUUCAGGCUAAUACCCUGGGAGGAUGACGGUACCCAAAGAAUAAGCACCGGCUAACUUCGUG